RNAcentral lists this ribosomal RNA (393 nucleotides) under uncultured bacterium. RNAcentral describes it as "bacterial SSU rRNA". It matches the Rfam family "Bacterial small subunit ribosomal RNA", at positions 34 to 422 of the family's 1533-position model. The record is from RNAcentral.
GAAUUCACUAGUGAUUCAGGCCUAACACAUGCAAGUCGAGCGGUAGAGAGAAGCUUGCUUCUCUUGAGAGCGGCGGACGGGUGAGUAAUGCCUAGGAAUCUGCCUGGUAGUGGGGGAUAACGUUCGGAAACGGACGCUAAUACCGCAUACGUCCUACGGGAGAAAGCAGGGGACCUUCGGGCCUUGCGCUAUCAGAUGAGCCUAGGUCGGAUUAGCUAGUUGGUGAGGUAAUGGCUCACCAAGGCGACGAUCCGUAACUGGUCUGAGUGGAUGAUCAGUCACACUGGAACUGAGACACGGUCCAGACUCCUACGGGAGGCAGCAGUGGGGAAUAUUGGACAAUGGGCGAAAGCCUGAUCCAUCAGAGCCGCGUGUGUGAAGAAGGUCUUCGGA